CCUCAAGUGAUGAUUAUUGGAGGUAGAGCACUGUUUGGACGAGGGGCCCCUCUCGGGUUACCGAAUUCAGACAAACUCCGAAUGCCAAUUAAUUUAACUUGGGAGUCAGAAGAUGGGUGAUAAGGUCCGUGUUCGAAAGGGAAACAGCCCAGACCACCAGCUAAGGUCCCAAAAUAUAUGUUAAGUGGAAAAGGAUGUGGCGUUGCCCAGACAACUAGGAUGU
RNAcentral lists this ribosomal RNA (223 nucleotides) under Staphylococcus haemolyticus. RNAcentral's name for it is "partial 23S ribosomal RNA". It matches the Rfam family "Bacterial large subunit ribosomal RNA", at positions 880 to 1101 of the family's 2925-position model. Lineage: Bacteria; Bacillati; Bacillota; Bacilli; Caryophanales; Staphylococcaceae. The record is from RNAcentral.